CAUCAAAACCUUUAUUCUUUAUCACAGGGCAUCAAAUGAGUGAAGCUGAACUUACUUCCUUUCCUGAGAUGUUGGCAAGAAUCCCGGUACCAAAGGACAAUGUCAACUUUGAAAAAUUUGUUACAAUUACCAUAUAAUCCAGAGGAUCAGCUGAGACAUUACAAACCAGGUCAAAUCUGGAACCUGCAAAUCACAAAUAAUGAUAUUGGUGAACAUAUCCAGCACACCUUCCUCCUUCUAUUACUUAUUUGAAGACACCAAAUAUGGAAAGAUGGAUAACAUAUGGGAGAAUAAGAAGGAUACUGGGAAAGAAAUGAAAACUAAAGAACAUGAAACAUGUUUGACCAAAGAAGAAAAAGAAGUCAGUGCCUUUAUAUCAGCAUUGCAAAGACUUGAAAGCAUAUUUGAGGUUCAUGUUGGAACUCCUCUUAAAAACUGUUAAUUGAAGCCAAGCAAUCUGGCUUCUAAAUAAUGUUAAAGAUUAUUAUUUUAUAACAGAAAUAAAGUUUGGAAUUACAAUCAAUACAAUAUUGCCUGAAAAAUACAUCAAAGAUGAAGUGUCAGUAUGAUAAAAAGAGGGCCAACAGAUUCUUGACAUGACUUGCAGACAACUUGAUCAUAUAAAAGGUGGAGGAGAAAAUUAGAUAAUCAGCUACAGUGGACUUA
This is a long non-coding RNA of Crotalus tigris (Tiger rattlesnake), 666 nucleotides long. RefSeq lists it as uncharacterized. Lineage: Eukaryota; Metazoa; Chordata; Lepidosauria; Squamata; Viperidae. The transcript has 3 exons. The record is from RefSeq and is a predicted model, not a curated record.